Ribosomal RNA from Benincasa hispida (wax gourd), 156 nucleotides. RefSeq annotates it as 5.8S ribosomal RNA. NCBI's taxonomy places the organism in Eukaryota, Viridiplantae, Streptophyta, Magnoliopsida, Cucurbitales, Cucurbitaceae. The record is from RefSeq and is a predicted model, not a curated record.
GACUCUCGAAAAUGGAUAUCUUAGCUCUCGCAUCGAUGAAGAACAUAGGAAAAUGCGAUACUUGGUGUGAAUUGCAGGAUCCCACGAAUCACUGAGUCUUUGAACGUAAGUUGUGCCCGGAGCCUUCUGGCCAAGGGCAAUUCUUCCUGGGCGUCA